This 266-nucleotide long non-coding RNA is filed under the name Manihot esculenta (cassava). RNAcentral's name for it is "long non-coding RNA (MESC_LNC011587)". Lineage: Eukaryota; Viridiplantae; Streptophyta; Magnoliopsida; Malpighiales; Euphorbiaceae. The record is from RNAcentral.
UUCCACAUAAUUCUUGAACCAUUCUCUGGCCUUCUUGCAUUUUAAUGUGAAACCUGCCAUCUCAAUGGCCCGACUAUCAUCAGCUCCCAACUCACUGGUUAUCAUCCUAACUGAUCUGAGGUAUUCAAAUGGAUCAUCUCCCGUAUUAUACUUAGGAGCAUCCAAUUUCAAGUACUCCGUCAUUUGUACCUUACCUCCAGAUGAGCUAGGUUGAUGUCUGUCAACAACAGGAGCUACUGGUUCUGGUGGUGGUACUGGCUCAUUUG